This is an RNA transcript of Humulus lupulus (European hop), 2652 nucleotides long. It is a transcript of the gene named aspartic proteinase CDR1-like, with no coding region annotated. The record is from RefSeq and is a predicted model, not a curated record. The transcript is spliced from 13 exons. NCBI's taxonomy places the organism in Eukaryota, Viridiplantae, Streptophyta, Magnoliopsida, Rosales, Cannabaceae.
AAUUAUGUCAUUAUCCACAUAAUACAACAGAGUUUAAUAGGAAAACUAUUUAUUUAUUUAUUGUUAUAUUUGACAAAAAAAAAAAAAAGAAAAAAGCAUGACCUUUGCUUCAUCUCUCUCCCUCGUCGUCUUCCUUAAAGUUGAAGAGAAUUCACCGUGUUAAGCUCCGGCAUUACCUUGGUUCUCUAUCUGACUCACUUCCAACUCGGUCCGAUCCGAGCCACUCAUUCGAUGGGGCGGUCUCCGAGUCAUCUCACCACCACCCUCCUCCUUCUAUUCCUCUCUCUCCUUCGACUCGCUCGCAUCUCCGCCAUCCCCGCCACUCCGCGCCUCCUCCGUCCACCUAACGCGCAGGCACGCACUGCCUUCCUCUUACCUCUCCAUCACCACUAUUCUUCUUCUUCUGAUUCUCCCCAGAACUCCUCCUCCUCGUCUUCCUUCAAUCCACAUCGCCACCUCCAGAGAUCCGGUGCCAGUAACCGUUCCAAUGCUCGCAUGAGCCUCCACGACGACCUCCUCCUUAAUGGGUACUACACCACGCGGCUUUGGAUCGGAACGCCACCUCAGAAAUUUGCUCUCAUUGUCGAUACGGGAAGCUCUGUUACGUACGUACCCUGUUCCACUUGCGAUCAGUGUGGAAGACACCAGGACCCCAGAUUCGAUCCGGAGCUUUCGACCACUUAUCAAGCGGUGAAGUGCAAUAUCGACUGUACUUGUGACAAUGAUCAAACGCAAUGCAUUUACGAGAGGCAAUACGCCGAGAUGAGUACAAGCAGUGGGGUGCUUGGUGAGGAUGUACUAUCCUUUGGGAACCUGAGUGCGCUUGCUCCUCAAAGAGCUGUUUUUGGCUGUGAAAACUUGGAAACUGGCGACCUUUACAGCCAACGUGCCGAUGGUAUAAUGGGCUUGGGCCGCGGUGACCUUAGUGUUGUGGACCAACUCGUGGAUAGAGGUGUGAUUAGUGACUCAUUCUCAUUGUGUUAUGGUGGGAUGGAUAUUGGUGGAGGUUCCAUGGUUCUGGGCGGUAUCACUCCACCUCCGGGCAUGGUUUUUGCUGAUUCUGAUGCUGUACGAAGUCCAUAUUACAACAUAGAUUUGAAGGAGAUUCAUGUUGCGGGAAAGCAAUUGCCUAUAAAUCCAGUGGUGUUUGAUGGGAAACAUGGGACGAUCCUGGAUAGUGGUACCACGUAUGCUUACCUGCCUGAUGCAGCAUUUAUACCAUUUAAAGAUGCUAUCAUAAAGGAACUGCAAUCUUUCAAGAAGAUUCGUGGCCCUGACCCAAAUUAUAAUGAUAUAUGUUUUUCUGGCGCUGGAAGCGAUGUCUCCCAACUUACAAAAAAUUUUCCUGCGGUUGGUAUGGUAUUUGGCAAUGGACAAAAACUGUCACUAUCCCCUGAAAAUUAUUUGUUCCAGCAUUCAAAGGUCCGUGGUGCAUAUUGCUUGGGUAUAUUUCCAAAUGGAAGAGAUCCAACCACUCUUAUAGGGGGAAUCAUUGUCCGAAAUACCCUUGUGAUGUAUGACCGUGAGCGUUCGAAGAUUGGUUUCUGGAAAACUAAUUGUUCUGAGUUAUGGGAAAGGCUUCACAUCUCUGGCUCUCCUCCAGCAAUGGGGCCAACUCCUAAUGAGAAGAAUUCAAGUACAGAAUUAUCACCUACAUUGGCUCCCAAUGAGGCACCAGAUUAUGUCCUUCCAGAGGAUCAACAAAUUGGAAAAAUAACAUUCGAGAUGUCAUUCAACAUUAGCUACACUGAUUUAAAGCCUCACAUCACAGAACUGGCUGAAUACAUCGCUCCUGCUUUAGAUGUUAAUAUUUCACAGGUCCGAGUAUUGAACUUUACAUCCAGUGCAAAUUAUACCCUCGUUAGAUUGGCCAUUGUCCCAGCAGGGUCUGCUGAUUUCAUCUCUAAUACGGCUGCAGUGACUAUCAUUGCUCAUCUUGCUGAACAUGGUAUACAACUUCCUGCUACCUUUUCCAGUUAUAAGUUUGUUGGAUGGAAUGUUGUACCGAAGGUAAAACGGAAAUGGUGGCAUCAAGAGUAUCUGGUGGUCAUCUUAGCAAUUUUUGUUACUCUAUUUAUUGGAUUAUCAGCUUUUGGUAUGUGGUUUAUUUGGAGACGCCGACAACAGGCUUUCAUUUCCUAUAAGGCUGUCAAUUCAGCUGUUCUGGAGCAAGAACUCCAACUCCAGCCACUGUGAACUUAGUAGCUACCUUUGCUUGGUGGGCACAUUUUCAUUUUUUGAUUCAUAUAUUUGUUGUAGGUUGGUGGGUGGUGUUGUUGAUGUUGUCAAACCCCUUAAACCCAAAACAAAAGUCAACUGGGUUAUGAAAACGAGCACAUUGUGCUCGGCAAAAGCUGCUACGUGACCCAACCAGCCAUUUGCUCGUUGACUCUGCUUUUGAUUGCAUGUGACUUGUAUAAGCUUUUUGAUUUUGGUUCACAGCCUUUGACGCUUUGUUGUUCUUUGAUUUUUCAAUGUCUAGUUGGGUAUAUAUGUUUGGCUUCGAUAAAUUCUAGUAUUAUGUUAUUAAUUUCUGAAUAUGAACAAAAAAUGCAUCUUCUCCGAAACUAUGUAGGAGAGUUUGACAUUUUAAAAAUCUAAAUUCAUUUGCAGCCGUGGAAGAAUCUGAAAAAUGGCCGUUGAAGUGUGAAA